GUGGUGCCAAGGAUGAGCAAAUCAAUCUGUUCCUCGGUCACCUCCCAUACCCAGCGAGAUGGAAGGAGGAUUCCGGCAGCCAUUCUUUGCAGCUACGGGUGAGCUCGGAUUUGAAUCUCUCUCUCUCUUCCCUGUGCUCACCCAUGCCCCGGCUGCCACAUUAUUUAUUACCAACUCGCACACAUGCUUUCCUUUCCCAUUUCGAAAUAAAUCUCAAUCUUUCACCUCAAAUUUGAUUCUUUUUACUACAUUUUUUUUAGGAUUUUGGCAUUCUUCUUGAGGAAGUAAAAACAUUAUUUUGGAGAAAAAACAUUUUUUUGUUUUGCUUUUCUUUCACUGCCUUGAAUUAGUACUGACGCGUGGGACCCAUGUGUAAGUCAGGUGGCAGCGUGGCACCCCUAUUGGGAUGAGCUGGCACAGUUACACGCCUGGGAGAUCGAUCACCAGGUGCCCUUUCGUUACAUGCGCCGCGGCUCAUCUCAAUCGUGGCUUGUGUACAUCAGGGCU
This 507-nucleotide long non-coding RNA is filed under the name Oryza sativa (Asian cultivated rice). RNAcentral's name for it is "long non-coding RNA (OSAT_LNC000759)". Lineage: Eukaryota; Viridiplantae; Streptophyta; Magnoliopsida; Poales; Poaceae. The record is from RNAcentral.